This 412-nucleotide ribosomal RNA is filed under the name uncultured bacterium. Its description in RNAcentral is "partial 16S ribosomal RNA". It matches the Rfam family "Bacterial small subunit ribosomal RNA", at positions 355 to 758 of the family's 1533-position model. The record is from RNAcentral.
UGGGGAAUUUUGGACAAUGGGCGCAAGCCUGAUCCAGCCAUGCCGCGUGCGGGAAGAAGGCCUUCGGGUUGUAAACCGCUUUUGUCAGGGAAGAAAUCUUCUGAGUUAAUACCUCGGGAGGAUGACGGUACCUGAAGAAUAAGCACCGGCUAACUACGUGCCAGCAGCCGCGGUAAUACGUAGGGUGCAAGCGUUAAUCGGAAUUACUGGGCGUAAAGCGUGCGCAGGCGGUUUUGUAAGACAGAGGUGAAAUCCCCGGGCUCAACCUGGGAACUGCCUUUGUGACUGCAAGGCUUGAGUGCGGCAGAGGGGGCAUGGAAUUCCGCGUGUAGCAGUGAAAUGCGUAGAUAUGCGGAGGAACACCGAUGGCGAAGGCAAUCCCCUGGGCCUGCACUGACGCUCAUGCACGAAA